CAAGAUGGCUGGGCGGCCGCUGUUCCGAUUCGUCGGGAUAGAGGAAAGUCCGAGCUCCACCGGGAAGGAUGCCCGCUAACAGCGGGGCGGGGCGACCCGACGGAAAGUGCCACAGAAACAUACCGCCCCGACCUGUCGGGGUAAGGGUGAAAUGGCGAGGUAAGAGCUCACCGCUCCGGUGGCGACAUCGGAGGCAGGGCAAACCCCAUCCGGUGCAAGGCCUAAUAGGGGGAAUAUGGGACCCGGACCAUCCCCGGGUUGGCCGCAAGACUCCGAUGGCAACAUCGGGGCUAGAUAGAUGGUCGCCGUCCCGACUUGUCGGGAUACAGAACUCGGCUUAUAGGCUGUCUUGAACA
This 356-nucleotide RNase P RNA is filed under the name Chloroflexota bacterium. RNAcentral describes it as "Chloroflexi bacterium RNase P RNA component class A". It matches the Rfam family "Bacterial RNase P class A". Rfam says of the family: Ribonuclease P (RNase P) is a ubiquitous endoribonuclease, found in archaea, bacteria and eukarya as well as chloroplasts and mitochondria. Lineage: Bacteria; Bacillati; Chloroflexota. The record is from RNAcentral.